AGCGUAGGCGGAUUUUUAAGUGGGAUGUGAAAUACCCGGGCUUAACCUGGGUGCUGCAUUCCAAACUGGAAGUCUAGAGUGCAGGAGAGGAAAGUGGAAUUCCUAGUGUAGCGGUGAAAUGCGUAGAGAUUAGGAAGAACACCAGUGGCGAAGGCGACUUUCUGGACUGUAACUGACGCUGAGGCUCGAAAGCGUGGGGAGCGAACA
This 207-nucleotide ribosomal RNA is filed under the name uncultured bacterium. RNAcentral describes it as "partial 16S ribosomal RNA". It matches the Rfam family "Bacterial small subunit ribosomal RNA", at positions 568 to 774 of the family's 1533-position model. The record is from RNAcentral.